This 25-nucleotide non-coding RNA is filed under the name Rattus norvegicus (Norway rat). Lineage: Eukaryota; Metazoa; Chordata; Mammalia; Rodentia; Muridae. The record is from RNAcentral.
UGGAAGCAAGCCUCCUGUCUCAGCC